GACGAACGCUGGCGGCGCGCUUAACACAUGCGAGUCGAACGGAAAGGCCUGCUUUCCCUUGUGGAUUGCGGGUACUCGAGUGGCGAACGGGUGAGUAACACGUGAGUGAUCUGCCCCCAACUUGGGUAUAAGCCUGGGAAACUGGGUCUAAUUCCCGAUAGGACUGCAGGGUGGUGCCUGUGGUGGAAAACGAUUUUCUAGUGGUUGGGGAUGAGCUCGCGGCCUAUCAGCUUGUUGGUGGGGUAAUGGCCUACCAAGGCGGCGACGGGUAGCCGGCCUGGGAGGGUGGACGGCCCCAUUGGGACUGAGAUACGGCCCAGACUCCUACGGGAGGCAGCAGUGGGGAAUAUUGCACAAUGGGCGGAAGCCUGAUGCAGCGACGCCGCGUGGGGGAUGACGGCCUUCGGGUUGUAAACUCCUUUCGACCGCGAGGAAGCCACCUGGUUGGAAGGGUGGUGACGGUAGUGGUAGAAGAAGCACCGGCUAACUACGUG
This 494-nucleotide ribosomal RNA is filed under the name uncultured bacterium. RNAcentral describes it as "partial 16S ribosomal RNA". It matches the Rfam family "Bacterial small subunit ribosomal RNA", at positions 28 to 507 of the family's 1533-position model. The record is from RNAcentral.